GUGCGCCUUAUGCAUGCAAGUCGAGCGAAGCUUUUCAGUAGUUUACUACAGAAAAUGACUGAGCGGCGAACGGGUGAGUAACGCGUGAGCAAUCUACCUUAGUUACAGGGAUAGCCCGAGGAAACUCGGAUUAAUACCUGAUAUUCUUUAUAUUUCGCAUGAAAUUAAAAGGAAAGGUCAGCCGAACUAAGAUGAGCUCGCGUUCUAUCAGCUAGUUGGUGAGGUAAAAGCUCACCAAGGCUACGACGGAUAGCUGGUCUGAGAGGACGAUCAGCCACACUGGGACUGAGACACGGCCCAGACUCCUACGGGAGGCUGCAGCAGGGAAUAUUGCGCAAUGAGCGAAAGCUUGACGCAGCGACACCGCGUGUGGGAUGACGGAUCUAGGUUUGUAAACCACUUUCAGGAGGGAAGAAAAUGACGGUACCUCC
Molecule: ribosomal RNA, 431 nt
Filed under: uncultured bacterium
Lineage: Bacteria
Description: bacterial SSU rRNA
Rfam family: Bacterial small subunit ribosomal RNA
Source: RNAcentral